Molecule: unclassified non-coding RNA, 1330 nt
Filed under: Hevea brasiliensis (rubber tree)
Lineage: Eukaryota; Viridiplantae; Streptophyta; Magnoliopsida; Malpighiales; Euphorbiaceae
Source: RNAcentral
CAUAACUGCUAUAUCUCUCAUAUUCUCUCAAAUUUUCAUCCAAAUUUCUCCUUCCUUCUAGAAAUCUUUCCCUUAUUGUUUUCUAAUCUAAAUCAUCAUUAAAUAUCUCUAUUCUCCAAAGCUACUUGGAAAAAGGUGAGUUAUUUGUUUUUUGGCUAUUUCUUUUCAUUAUGUGCAUUUUUUUAUUGCAUUUUUGUUGAAGAAAAUUAUUGUUGAUGUUAGAUUUGUUAUUAAAUUUAUAGUUUGAAGGAUUAGUUUAAUGCUAAUUAUGUCAAAAAUGAUAGAUUUAAUAUCUUUAUUUGAUAUAUUUAUAUUUGUUAUUUAGCUGUGUUUAUUAGUUUUAUUUAAUGAACUACACAAAUUUUUCAAAAAAAAAUUUGUGUAGCGAUGGGCUUGUUUUCAUUAUCUGUGACCACGAUUUAAAUCCAUAGGCUAACUAGAAGGUGAGAGUUGUAAUCAGAGUAUCUUCAAGAGUUGUUUCUUUAAUAAUAUCCCCUUCAAGGUUGGAAUGUCUCCCUUGAAUAGGAUGAAGCUAUAAUUUGGUUUUUCAAGCGUUUAUUCUCUUAAAGCAAAUGAGUUGUUUUAUCCAUUUUAUUUUUUGCUUCCAACCAAGUAGGAAAUCUUCUGUUUUGGCCUGUCAGUGUCCUGGACAUGAGAUUGUUAUCUGCUGAUUACUUAUUUCUUUGUCAUCCCCAUUCAUCCCUUUACCCCAUACAGGAAAAGCAAUGUGGUAAAACAUGCAAAAUCACACCCACAAACUCCAACCCAAAAAUGCACUUGGGCAAAAUUUUACCCCCUUAUUUUCUCAAUGUAAUCUUACCUCUUCUAUGUUAAUAUUUCAUCCUACAUUAGGCGUGAACUGUCAGUGCCCCUUUAUGCCAAACACAAUUUGAGAAGGGGUGAAAUAAUGUAUGUUAUCAUGCAACACUUCACCUUGAGCACCAUGUCUAAUAAACCCUUAUAGGGAAAAUCUUCAAAGGACUGUUGGUAAUCACACAUCCUCUGUUGAUGAUAAAAAUAUUGUUCCUGUUUCCCCCAACUCCUGGAGAGGAAGAUUAUCUUACUCGCAUUUGAUAAGCUAGCAUGAUAAUGGUAGUUGUUUGAUUGAUGAUAACUUAACAGGGAUGUAUUUAAAACUUUGCGCUUGAAUUCUUGUGCCAUGGUGAAUUUUCAUUUUCACUGUCAAUAUAUUCGUGCAUUUUAGGACAGCAAUACCUUAAUUUGUGCUUUAAUAAACAUCUUUGUCAUCAUUUUAUUAGUAUGCUUAUGUUUGUAAUAUCAUCAUUAAAUCUUUGGGCUCCAUGUAGAUAUGGGUGUUGAGAGGUGCGUU